Molecule: long non-coding RNA, 1106 nt
Organism: Bos taurus (domestic cattle)
Lineage: Eukaryota; Metazoa; Chordata; Mammalia; Artiodactyla; Bovidae
Source: Ensembl
AGGGCUCUUUUCCUUUCAAGAGCUCAUAGGGAGAAGAGGCAGAAUGCUCUUCCUUUGGACACUGUCGUGUUUGCCGGUGAUUCCUGGGAUUACGGCAGCUAUUGCCAAGAAGGGCGUCAACCCCAGAGCAGAAUAGAAAAGUGGAGGAUGGCAGAGACAGGUGGUGAGAAGGACCUUCCUUUAUAUGACGUCUUUGCCUGUUGGAGCCACUUUCAUUUUAGGACUGGGUGGUCACAAAGAUCCCCUGGAGGAGGGCCUGGCAACGCACUCCAGUAUUCUUGCCUGGAGAAUCCCACGGACAGAGGAGCCUGGCGGGCUGCAGUCCAUGGGGUUGCAAAGUCAGACACGACGGAAGUGAGGUACUUUUUCUCACGAUCUUUCAUCAUAAGAGCAGAUGUCCGCCAUGCAGACAGAGAAUCAAGAAGACAAGCCUAAACAGGGCCCAUAAGUUCUUCUACCAGAAUCAGAAGGUGGAGGACCAGGCUGACGUGUCCUCCCCACUCUCCCGUUGAGGGGCUUCAGUCUCUCUAGGCCCAUCUGUGACUUAAGUCAGAUUUCCAUGGACUAUAUUCUAUUUUUAAGUCCUGUGUUUUCUGAUUGAGAAGCUGCUUUGAAUGAGAUCUCUACCUGUAUAGUUAUGUUACUCUGUGAAUGAAAAAUUUUAUUUACACGUCCAUCUAAGUGCAUAUCUCUUUGUUGCUGUUGCUGUUCAGUCGCUAAGUCAUGUCUGACUCCUUGUGACCCCCAUGGACACCAGGCUCCUCUGUCUAUGGGAUUUCCCAGGCAAGAAGAUUGAAGUGGGUUGCCAUUUCCAGAUCUUCUGACCCAGGGAAUGAACCGAGUGUCCUGCUUAGCAGGCACCUGGGAAGUCUAAUAUCUCUGUAUCUAUUUAUAAAUGCAAAUAUACAUAUACAAAUAUAUACAUAAUAUUAGUCAGAGAUGUAAAACCUCUUUGUUCCACCAGUGUAGCUGCCAGAUGUACCAUUAAAUCUACAUGGAUGGGCACACAGGCUUCAACUGAGCCCAGCACAGAAUCCCUGACCUGGGUGUUUCCAUCACAGGUCAGAGGCCAACAGAAGCAGUAUCAGCCUCCAGAUCACCUAAAU